AUGAAUCUGAGUUAUUUCAACCUCUUGAUACUGGUUUCAUAUGUAGAUGGUCAGUCAAUGACCUCAUCUGGCCAUGAGGUGAAGAAACCUGGAGAAUCAGUAACUUUGUCCUGUAUGGUGUCUGGACUCCCCCUUAGCUGGUUGCACUGCAUCCGUCAGAAAUCGGGGGGAGGACUGGAGUGGAUUGGGCAUAUUAACGAUGGCACUGACACUAUUUUUGCUCAGUCCCUACAAGACCAGUAUUCCAUUACAAACGACACCAGCAGAAACAUGGUGUAUUUGGAGGUGAAAAGUCUAAAGACUGAGGACAUGGCAGUUUAUUACUGUGCAUGUUAGACAAAAGGGUGCAGUGCAUAGCAAAAACAUAUGUAUUAUGUUUAAAUGCUGAACAUUUAUACCCUUGAGAGUAAAAGACGAAUGCAUGGCGUGGAUAAAGUAACUCCCAGGAAGGAGAGGUGUGGUGUAAUGCUUCUGGCUGUAAUGCUUCUGGUUUUAACUUUGGUGGCUCCUGGAUGGCUUGGAUCAUACAGACUUUUGGGGGAAGA
Non-coding RNA from Xyrauchen texanus (razorback sucker), 545 nucleotides. Lineage: Eukaryota; Metazoa; Chordata; Actinopteri; Cypriniformes; Catostomidae. The record is from the annotation of a RefSeq genome assembly.